This 190-nucleotide non-coding RNA is filed under the name Metabacillus niabensis. RNAcentral describes it as "6S RNA". It matches the Rfam family "6S / SsrS RNA". Rfam says of the family: E. coli 6S RNA was the first non coding RNA to be sequenced, but its function was unknown until recently. It consists of 184 nucleotides that fold into an extended hairpin structure with a large single-stranded internal bulge. Lineage: Bacteria; Bacillati; Bacillota; Bacilli; Caryophanales; Bacillaceae. The record is from RNAcentral.
AUAGUCCUGAUGUGUUCGUUGUACACCUAGUUUUGACCUAACAUUUUUUUUUAUGGGAGCUUGCGUUUCCUCGGAAAGUAAACGCCUCUAAUUUCGGAUUACGAGGACUUACAAACCGCGGAAUAAAGCACCCACCUGCUAAGGGCGGGCUCAAAACGAGGGAAACGGCGACGGCACGUUCGGGACUUCU